AGAUUGAACGCUAGCGGGAUGCUUUACACAUGCAAGUCGAACGGCAGCGCGGACUUCGGUCUGGCGGCGAGUGGCGAACGGGUGAGUAAUAUAUCGGAACGUGCCCAGUAGCGGGGGAUAACUACGCGAAAGCGUGGCUAAUACCGCAUACGCCCUACGGGGGAAAGGGGGGGAUCGCAAGACCUCUCACUAUUGGAGCGGCCGACAUCAGAUUAGCUAGUUGUGAGGUAAAGCUCACCAAGGCGACGAUCUGUAGCUGGUUUGAGAGGACGACCAGCCACACUGGGACUGAGACACGGCCCAGACUCCGACGGAGCAGCAGCGGGAAUUUGACAAGUGGGAAACCUGAUCCAGCCAGUCCCGCGUGUG
Molecule: ribosomal RNA, 369 nt
Filed under: uncultured soil bacterium
Lineage: Bacteria
Description: bacterial SSU rRNA
Rfam family: Bacterial small subunit ribosomal RNA
Source: RNAcentral